Molecule: ribosomal RNA, 506 nt
Filed under: uncultured bacterium
Lineage: Bacteria
Description: partial 16S ribosomal RNA
Rfam family: Bacterial small subunit ribosomal RNA
Source: RNAcentral
AGUGAACGCUGGCGGUAGGCCUAACACAUGCAAGUCGAACGGCAGCACAGGAAAGCUUGCUCUCUGGGUGGCGAGUGGCGGACGGGUGAGGAAUACAUCGGAAUCUACUUUUUCGUGGGGGAUAACGUAGGGAAACUUACGCUAAUACCGCAUACGACCUACGGGUGAAAGCAGGGGACCUUCGGGCCUUGCGCGAUUGAAUGAGCCGAUGUCGGAUUAGCUAGUUGGCGGGGUAAAGGCCCACCAAGGCGACGAUCCGUAGCUGGUCUGGAAGAAUGAUCAGCCAACCUGGAACGGAGACACGGUCCAGACUCCUACGGGAGGCAGCAGUGGGGAAUAUUGGACAAUGGGCGCAAGCCUGAUCCAGCCAUACCGCGUGGGUGAAGAAGGCCUUCGGGUUGUAAAGCCCUUUUGUUGGGAAAGAAAUCCAGCUGGCUAAUACCCGGUUGGGAUGACGGUACCCAAAGAAUAAGCACCGGCUAACUUCGUGCCAGCCGCCGCCGUAA